GUAGUACAAAUGGUUAGUGCAGUCAGCUGCUAACUGAAAAGUUGGUGGUCCGAGUCCACCC
Molecule: transfer RNA, 61 nt
Filed under: Loxodonta africana (African savanna elephant)
Lineage: Eukaryota; Metazoa; Chordata; Mammalia; Proboscidea; Elephantidae
Rfam family: tRNA
About the family: Transfer RNA (tRNA) molecules are approximately 80 nucleotides in length. Their secondary structure includes four short double-helical elements and three loops (D, anti-codon, and T loops). Further hydrogen bonds mediate the characteristic L-shaped molecular structure. tRNAs have two regions of fundamental functional importance: the anti-codon, which is responsible for specific mRNA codon recognition, and the 3' end, to which the tRNAs corresponding amino acid is attached (by aminoacyl-tRNA synthetases). tRNAs cope with the degeneracy of the genetic code in two manners: having more than one tRNA (with a specific anti-codon) for a particular amino acid; and 'wobble' base-pairing, i.e. permitting non-standard base-pairing at the 3rd anti-codon position.
Source: Rfam by way of RNAcentral